RNAcentral lists this transfer RNA (86 nucleotides) under Methanobacteriota archaeon. Its description in RNAcentral is "Euryarchaeota archaeon tRNA-Tyr". It matches the Rfam family "tRNA". Rfam says of the family: Transfer RNA (tRNA) molecules are approximately 80 nucleotides in length. Their secondary structure includes four short double-helical elements and three loops (D, anti-codon, and T loops). Lineage: Archaea; Methanobacteriati; Methanobacteriota. The record is from RNAcentral.
GGGCGAGCGGCGAAGAUGGGGAGUCGCACCGGACUGUAAAUCCGGCUCGUACAGAUGAGUAGGUUCGAAUCCUACCUCGCCCACCA